CCCUUAGAUGUCCUGGGCCGCACGCGCGUUACACUGAUGCAUUCAACGAGCUUAUAACCUUGGCCGAGAGGCCUGGGCAAUCUUGUUAACGUGCAUCGUGAUAGGGAUAGAUUAUUGAAAUUAUUAAUCUUGAACGAGGAAUUCCUAGUAAACGCAGAUCAUCAAUCUGCAUUGAUUACGUCCCUGCCCUUUGUACACACCGCCCGUCGCACCUACCGAUUGGAUGGUCCGGUGAAGCCUCGGGAUUGUGGUUCUUGCCGCUUUAUUGUGGCGUGACCGCGAGAACUUGUCUAAACCUUACCAUUUAGAGGAAGGUGAAGUCGUAACA
Molecule: ribosomal RNA, 328 nt
Filed under: uncultured eukaryote
Lineage: Eukaryota
Description: partial 18S ribosomal RNA
Rfam family: Eukaryotic small subunit ribosomal RNA
Source: RNAcentral